RNAcentral lists this long non-coding RNA (318 nucleotides) under Olea europaea (common olive). RNAcentral's name for it is "long non-coding RNA (OEUR_LNC009380)". Lineage: Eukaryota; Viridiplantae; Streptophyta; Magnoliopsida; Lamiales; Oleaceae. The record is from RNAcentral.
ACAAGGCCUUUUAUAGGUACAAAAGAUUCCAAAUACAUUGUAUGAACUUAAGAGACUAAUUAAUGACUUUUCCUAUAUACUAUGAAUAAUAGGAUACAAAGAACCAUUUGGAUACAUGAUUUAAAUAAAUGCAUGAAUAUUAAGUAAACUAAUUCAUGUGUCAAAUUUAAUUUUUUCCAUCAUUCAUGAAUCAAGUUUAAUUUCCAACACCCCUUCUUAAACUUGAUUCCCUCUUGAUAACUCGAAUCCAAGUACGCAAUCUUGCAAAAUCAUCAUUCUUCAAUGGUUUGGUGAAAAUGUCUGCUACUUGAUCAUUGG